AUACGGAGGGUGCAAGCGUUACUCGGAAUUACUGGGCGUAAAGGACGCGUAUGCGGUUUAGAAAGUCAGAUGUGAAAGCCUAAGGCUUAACCAUAGAACUGCAUCUGAAACUCCUAGACUAGAGUGAGGGAGAGGUCAGAGGAAUUAGUGGUGUAGGGGCAAAAUCCGUAGAGAUCACUAGGAAUACUCAUAGCGAAGGCGACUGACUGGAACUUUACUGACGCUGAGGCGUGAAAGCGUGGGGAGCAAACAGGAUUAGAAACCCGUGUAGUCC
This 274-nucleotide ribosomal RNA is filed under the name uncultured bacterium. RNAcentral's name for it is "partial 16S ribosomal RNA". It matches the Rfam family "Bacterial small subunit ribosomal RNA", at positions 523 to 796 of the family's 1533-position model. The record is from RNAcentral.